Non-coding RNA from Jackrogersella minutella, 92 nucleotides. Lineage: Eukaryota; Fungi; Ascomycota; Sordariomycetes; Xylariales; Hypoxylaceae. The record is from the annotation of a GenBank genome assembly.
UGCCUAUUGGCCAAGUUGGUUAAGGCGUCUGACUGUUAGUUAUCAAAACAGAAGCAAUCAGAAGAUCCCUGGUUCGACCCCAGGAUGGGCAG